AGCUAUAUGAGUUAAUAUAUAGUUAUUUCUGCUCAAUGAUAUUUAAAUAGCCGCAGUACUCUGACUGUGCAAAGGUAGCAUAAUCAGUUGGCUUUUAAUUGGAGUCUGGAAUGAAGGAAAAUAUGGGUAGUGACUGUCUUAGCGCAUUUUUUUGAACUUAUUUAGCAAGUGCAAAUACUUGUGGUUUAACAAUAGACGAGAAGACCCUAGAAACUUGAACUAGUUUUUGUUGGGGCGACAGAAUUACAUUUAACUAAUCUUAUAUACAUGACGCAUUACUGAGAGUAUAAGUUACUCUAGGGAUAACAGCAUAAUUUUAACAGUUUGUGACCUCGAUGUUGGACUAGGUAUUAUACCCUUAAGACAGGGGUAUAUCAUGCUCUGUUCGAGCAAUAUUACCUACAU
Molecule: ribosomal RNA, 405 nt
Filed under: Helix secernenda
Lineage: Eukaryota; Metazoa; Mollusca; Gastropoda; Stylommatophora; Helicidae
Description: partial large subunit ribosomal RNA
Rfam family: Archaeal large subunit ribosomal RNA
Source: RNAcentral